Molecule: ribosomal RNA, 301 nt
Filed under: uncultured bacterium
Lineage: Bacteria
Description: partial 16S ribosomal RNA
Rfam family: Bacterial small subunit ribosomal RNA
Source: RNAcentral
CAGCAGCCACGGUAAUACAGAGGGUGCGAGCGUUAAUCGGAUUUACUGGGCGUAAAGCGUGCGUAGGCGGCUUCUUAAGUCGGAUGUGAAAUCCCUGAGCUUAACUUAGGAAUUGCAUUCGAUACUGGGAAGCUAGAGUAUGGGAGAGGAUGGUAGAAUUCCAGGUGUAGCGGUGAAAUGCGUAGAGAUCUGGAGGAAUACCGAUGGCGAAGGCAGCCAUCUGGCCUAAUACUGACGCUCAUGCACGAAAGCGUGGGGAGCAAACAGGAUUAGAUACCCCGGUAGUCCCUGUCUCUUAUAC